CCCAGACUCCUACGGGAGGCAGCAGUGGGGGAUAUUGCACAAUGGGGGGAACCCUGAUGCAGCGACGCCGCGUGGGUGAAGAAGCGCCUCGGCGCGUAAAGCCCUGUCAGCAGGGAAGAAAAUGACGGUACCUGAAGAAGAAGUCCCGGCUAACUACGUGCCAGCAGCCGCGGUAAUACGUAGGGGGCAAGCGUUAUCCGGAAUUACUGGGUGUAAAGGGAGCGUAGACGGUGAUGCAAGUCUGGAGUGAAAGGCGGGGGCCCAACCCCCGGGCUGCUCUGGAAACUGUAUGACUUGAGUGCAGGAGAGGUAAGCGGAAUUCCUAGUGUAGCGGUGAAAUGCGUAGAUAUCAGGAGGAACACCGGUGGCGAAGGCGGCCUGCUGGACUGCAACUGACGUUGAGGCCCGAAAGCGUGGGGAGCAAACAGGAUUAGAUACCCCUGUACA
Molecule: ribosomal RNA, 447 nt
Filed under: uncultured bacterium
Lineage: Bacteria
Description: bacterial SSU rRNA
Rfam family: Bacterial small subunit ribosomal RNA
Source: RNAcentral